This 367-nucleotide ribosomal RNA is filed under the name uncultured bacterium. RNAcentral's name for it is "bacterial SSU rRNA". It matches the Rfam family "Bacterial small subunit ribosomal RNA", at positions 28 to 401 of the family's 1533-position model. The record is from RNAcentral.
GAUGAACGCUAGCGGCAGGCCUAAUACAUGCAAGUCGAACGCUCAGUAGCAAUACUGGGAGUGGCGCACGGUGCGUAACGCGUACACAAUCUACCUCUAAGCGGGGGACACCUCCUGGAAACGGGGAUUAAUACCGCAUAAUAUGCCGAGGUCGCAUGACUUUGGUAUUAAAGCAGCAAUGCACUUAGAGAUGAGUGUGCGUCCCAUUAGGUAGUUGGUGAGGUAACGGCUCACCAAGCCUAUGAUGGGUAGCCGGUCUGAGAGGAUGGUCGGCCACACGGGCACUGAGACACGGGCCCGACUUCCUACGGGAGGCAGCAGUAAGGAAUAUGGUCAAUGGUGGAAACACUGAACCAGCCAUGCCGCG